GCAUAUCAAUAAGCGGAGGAAAAGAAACCAACAGGGAUUGCCCUAGUAACGGCGAGUGAAGCGGCAACAGCUCAAAUUUGAAAUCUGGCUCUUUUAGAGUCCGAGUUGUAAUUUGCAGAGGGCGCUUUGGCGUUGGCAGCGGUCCAAGUUCUUUGGAACAGGACGUCACAGAGGGUGAGAAUCCCGUACGUGGUCGCUAGCCUUCGCCGUGUAAAGCCCCUUCGACGAGUCGAGUUGUUUGGGAAUGCAGCUCUAAAUGGGAGGUAAAUUUCUUCUAAAGCUAAAUACUGGCCAGAGACCGAUAGCGCACAAGUAGAGUGAUCGAAAGAUGAAAAGCACUUUGGAAAGAGAGUCAAAUAGCACGUGAAAUUGUUGAAAGGGAAGCGCUUGCAGCCAGACUUGCCUGUAGUUGCUUAUCCGGACUUUUGUCCGGUGCACUCUUCUGCGGGCAGGCCAGCAUCAGUUUGGGCGGUUGGAUAAAGGUCUCUGUCAUGUACCUCCUUUCGGGGAGGCCUUAUAGGGGAGACGACAUGCAACCAGCCUGGACUGAGGUCCGCGCAUCUGCUAGGAUGCUGGCGUAAUGGCUGUAAGCGGCCCGUCUUGAAACACGGACCAAGGAGUCUAACAUCUAUGCGAGUGUUUGGGUGUCAAGCCCAGACGCGUAAUGAAAGUGAACGGAGGUGGGAACCUUUUAGGUGCACCAUCGACCGAUCCUGAUGUCUUCGGAAGGAUUUGAGUAAGAGCAUGGCUGUUGGGACCCGAAAGAUGGUGAACUAUGCUUGAAUAGGGUGAAGCCAGAGGAAACUCUGGUGGAGGCUCGCAGCGGUUCUGACGUGCAAAUCGAUCGUCAAAUUUGGGCAUAGGGGCGAAAGACUAAUCGAACUAUCUAGUAGCUGGUUCCUGCCGA
RNAcentral lists this ribosomal RNA (907 nucleotides) under Coniothyrium ferrarisianum. Its description in RNAcentral is "LSU rRNA". It matches the Rfam family "Eukaryotic large subunit ribosomal RNA", at positions 38 to 964 of the family's 3401-position model. The record is from RNAcentral. RNAcentral also lists the same sequence under 1 other name. Lineage: Eukaryota; Fungi; Ascomycota; Dothideomycetes; Pleosporales; Coniothyriaceae.